This 404-nucleotide ribosomal RNA is filed under the name uncultured bacterium. Its description in RNAcentral is "bacterial SSU rRNA". It matches the Rfam family "Bacterial small subunit ribosomal RNA", at positions 355 to 775 of the family's 1533-position model. The record is from RNAcentral.
UGAGGAAUAUUGCACAAUGGGCGAAAGCCUGAUGCAGCAACGCCGCGUGCGGGAGGAAGGCCUUCGGGUCGUAAACCGCUUUUCGGGGGGACGAGUGAGGACGGUACCCCCGGAAUAAGUCUCGGCUAACUACGUGCCAGCAGCCGCGGUAAAACGUAGGAGGCGAGCGUUAUCCGGAUUCACUGGGCGUAAAGCGCGUGUAGGUGGUUCGCUAAGUCGAAUGUGAAAGCCCCCGGCUUAACUGGGGGAGGUCAAUCGAUACUGGUGGACUUGAGGGUAGGAGAGGAAGGUGGAAUUCCCGGUGUAGCGGUGGAAUGCGUAGAGAUCGGGAGGAACACCUGUGGCGAAAGCGACCUUCUGGCCUGCUCCUGACACUGAGACGCGAAAGCGUGGGUAGCAAACGG